AUGCAGAGCGGGCCCGCAUCGCCGGCCCCGCCGGAGGACACACCGAUGGCGGCGGCGGCGGCGGUGGUUGAGGUGGAGGUGAUGGAGGAGGCUGACGGGGAGCAGGCGAAGGAGGAUGCUGUGAAGGUGGUGGAGGCGCAGGCGGAGAGGGGAGUGAAGAGGGGGCGGGGGCGACCGCGGCGGCGGCCCCUGGCCGUGGAGGGGAGCGGGGUGGUGAUGGUGAAGCGGGAGCAGCUCGCGCGCUGCAUGACGUGCCAGCUCUGCCACCGCCUGCUCCGCAACGCCACCACCAUCUCCGAGUGCCUUCACACAUUUUGUAGAAAGUGUAUCUAUAAGAAGCUUAAUGAUGAAGAGUGUGACCAUUGUCCAGUAUGUAAAAUUGAUCUCGGCUGCGCUCCAAUUGAGAAGCUUAGGGCCGAUCACAAUAAACAAGACGUGAGGUCAAAAAAUUUCCCAUUGAAAAGAAAUAAGAUCGAUGCUAAAGGAUCUCCAGUUACACUGCCUAUUAAAAGGAAAGAGAGGUCUAUCUCUUCAUUGGUGGUUGACACACCUCGAAUAACAACGGGUUUGACUGGGCGCCGAACAAGAGCCGUUACUAGGAAGGCUGCUGCUGCAUUACGUGGCCUUGGUCCUAUCCUUGAUCCUGUAGAAAGGGAUAAUGGUAGCGCCAAUAAGCAUCCUGAUAAUUUAAGCUUGCUGGACAGCUUGAGCAAAGUGCCUCAAACAAGAAGAAAGGCAUCAUCAAUUGCAGAAACGUCAAGUCAUAACUCUAAUAAAGAUAAAGCAGGUGAUGAUAAGGACUUGGACAAGGCAGAUCUAUGGAAACCUCUAAACUGUCUUGUAGAAGCUGCAAGCAAAACAAAGUCCUUCAGGUCAAGUCCAUCUGUCAAGGGAGAUCAGCCCAAUGGAUCUCCUAGUAGUGAACAUGCUAGCAAAGAGAAGUCUGUGGAGAAUCUACGGAAAACCAGAUUUCAAGAUGACAAGAAAGAUGCUCCACAGCCAGUAAUGCUUAAAAAGAAAGGGACUGGCCGGACGAAGAAUGCAACUUCUGUUGCUGCAGCUAGCCAGAAGGCCCAGAAUAGUAGGGCACUAAACCCUGUAUGGUUCUCAUUGAUUGCCUCGUUUGAGCAGAAAGGCCUCCCACCCUUGCCACAGAUACCUGCCCACUAUUUGAGAAUAAAAGAUGGAAGUAUAGCCGCAUCAUCCAUCCAAAGGUAUAUUAUGCAGAAGCUCAGUCUUNNNNNNNNNNNNNAGGUUGAACUGAGCUGCUGUGGGCAAUCAAUAAACCCCAUACAACCUGUGCACAACCUGAUGGAUAGGUGGCUGAGGGUUGGCCCGUCGCGCCAUUUGCAGACGUCGGUAGGCUCCUCCGGGGGAGAGUAUGUGAUGGUGAUAACCUAUGGGCGGCCAAAGUCUUGA
Molecule: ribosomal RNA, 1419 nt
Filed under: Triticum aestivum (bread wheat)
Lineage: Eukaryota; Viridiplantae; Streptophyta; Magnoliopsida; Poales; Poaceae
Description: partial small subunit ribosomal RNA
Source: RNAcentral